AGGCAAGGCCAACACAGAGUUUGCUUUGUAAGAGCAAUUACUACCUCUUUUAUAAUGAUAAGUUUAUCUUUCCAUUGCAUAGUUUGCCUUUACUACGCGUCUUGUACAAUUAUUGUGAGAACCGCUGUAUAAGUGAUAUCAAAUUUGUGUCUCCGUAAGUUAAAAUUUUAAAAUUAUGGAUAUUAAGGUAUGAUAAAUUAUUUACAACCGUUAAGUGUUUAAUUAAAACAUGUGGGGUUUACUUCCAUUUUACUUUUGUUUAUCAUUAAUGGAAGUGCAAAGUGUUUUCAAACUAGAGCCAAUUCAUGUUAUGCCUAGACCUUCUGGCAGUAAUCACUUGGGAACACCUUUAUUCUUGACACCUCUGUUACAAAAAGGACACCAUGCAACAGCUCAGGAUCUGUCCAAAGUGGAACCGAAUAUUGGGAACAUACUGAGUUACUCAGGAUUUUUCACUGUCAACAAAAAUUGCGACUCACAUUUGUUCUUUUGGUUCUUUCCUGCUCAAAAAGUCAACUGGAAAGAUGCACCACUUCUGCUAUGGUUGGAUGGAGGGCCAGGGAGUACAUCUCUGCACGGUGUCUUCGAUAGGCAAGGUCCAUUUAAAUCUUACAAGGAAGGCCUCAGGAAGCGUACAUACUCUUGGAAUAUCAAAAACAAUUACCUGAUCAUUGAUCAACCUGUUGGAACAGGCUACAGUUUCACAGGAAAACACUGCUAUCCUGAAAAUGAAACAGCAGUCGGUGAAGAUCUUUACCAAGCUGUUUUGCAGUUCCACCAGUUGUUUCCAAACUUCCAGAAGGGGAAGUUUUUCAUUUCUGGGUCAUCAUACGCCGGUCACUAUAUUCCAGCCCUAGGACAUAUGAUUCUGAAGUACAAUCCAUCUGCAAAGGUAAAGAUCAACUUAACCUCAAUACUAAUAGGAAACGGUUGGUUCGAUCCAGUAACUCAAGUAGAAUACAGUGACUACCUUUAUCAGCACGGUUUCAUAGAUGACUCAGUAAGGAAUAUUUAUGAAGAAUAUCAAAAUAAUUUUAAACGUCAAGUUGCAGCAAAAAACUUUAUAGGUGCCGGUUACACCAUCAGCUCAAUAAAUACAACUUUGCGUAGAGAAAACGUUGGUUUCCAAGUGAACUAUGAAAAUUACUUAUACUUCCCAAAUAAUGCAAGGAGAAAGCAGAAUUGGCAUGAAUUUAUCCAAUCAUCUGAAGUUCGAAAGGCAUUAAAAGUUGGAGACUUGCCAUUUCAGUCAGGUGACAAAGUUUUUGAGAGUCUGUCGUUAGAUCUUGUACAAUCAGUGAAACCCUGGGUGGAAGAACUGCUGGAAGUGUACCCGAUAGUUUUCUACAACGGUCAGCUGGACGUUAUCUGUGCAUAUCCGAUGAUGAUCAAAUUCCUUCGCUCUCUGGACUGGAGUGGGCAAUCUCAGUACCUGAAUGCUACCAGGACAAAGUGGUGUGUGGGGGAGGAGUUGGCCGGUUACUACAAGGGGGUACACAACAUGUACGACGUGUUGGUGCGUGAUGCAGGCCACAAUGUCCCUCUUGAGCAGCCAUUCUGGGGCUACCUCCUGGUCAACUCUAUCACCUCAGGGUCAUCGGGCAACCCCCUGCACGCUCUCACACCUUGUAACUCGACCAAUUGAAACAGAGAUAAUCAUAAAUAAUCUUAGAGUUGGACAGUCAACAAGAUAACCUGCACAGGAAGCUCUAUUCUGUGAACUGAUUGCCACUUAGGUGGAAAUGUUCAAAGCGGACGUCAUUUGAUAAUGAACUUGCCGGUUACUACAAGGGGGUGCACAAUCUGUACGACGUGUUGGUGCGUGAUGCAGGUCACAUGGUACCAGCAGACCAACCUCUCUGGGCCUAUACCCUUAUGAACUCUAUCACUUCGGGAACACCAGAUAACCCUCUGCAUGCCCUUACACCUUGCUAAACACUACUAUCAGUCUUAUUGUCACUUAAUUAAAUAAUGAUACUAUACGUC
This 1986-nucleotide unclassified non-coding RNA is filed under the name Homalodisca vitripennis (glassy-winged sharpshooter). Its description in RNAcentral is "venom serine carboxypeptidase-like, transcript variant X3". Lineage: Eukaryota; Metazoa; Arthropoda; Insecta; Hemiptera; Cicadellidae. The record is from RNAcentral.